GACGAACGCUGGCGACGUGCUUAACACAUGCAAGUCGAACGGAAAGGCCCUGCUUUUGUGGGGUGCUCGAGUGGCGAACGGGUGAGUAACACGUGAGUAACCUGCCCUUGACUUUGGGAUAACUUCAGGAAACUGGGGCUAAUACCGGAUAGGAGCUCCUGCUGCAUGGUGGGGGUUGGAAAGUUUCGGCGGUUGGGGAUGGACUCGCGGCUUAUCAGCUUGUUGGUGGGGUAGUGGCUUACCAAGGCUUUGACGGGUAGCCGGCCUGAGAGGGUGACCGGCCACAUUGGGACUGAGAUACGGCCCAGACUCCUACGGGAGGCAGCAGUGGGGAAUAUUGCACAAUGGGCGGAAGCCUGAUGCAGCAACGCCGCGUGCGGGAUGACGGCCUUCGGGUUGUAAACCGCUUUCGCCUGUGACGAAGCGUGAGUGACGGUAAUGGGUAAAGAAGCACCGGCUAACUACGUGCCAGCAGCCGCGGUGAUACGUAGGGUGCGAGCGUUGUCCGGAUUUAUUGGGCGUAAAGGGCUCGUAGGUGGUUGAUCGCGUCGGAAGUGUAAUCUUGGGGCUUAACCCUGAGCGUGCUUUCGAUACGGGUUGACUUGAGGAAGGUAGGGGAGAAUGGAAUUCCUGGUGGAGCGGUGGAAUGCGCAGAUAUCAGGAGGAACACCAGUGGCGAAGGCGGUUCUCUGGGCCUUUCCUGACGCUGAGGAGCGAAAGCGUGGGGAGCGAACAGGCUUAGAUACCCUGGUAGUCCACGCUGUAAACGGUGGGUACUAGGUGUGGGGUCCAUUCCACGGGUUCCGUGCCGUAGCUAACGCUUUAAGUACCCCGCCUGGGGAGUACGGCCGCAAGGCUAAAACUCAAAGGAACUGACGGGGCCCCGCACAAGCGGCGGAGCAUGCGGAUUAAUUCGAUGCAACGCGUAGAACCUUACCUGGGUUUGACAUGGAUCGGGAGCGCUCAGAGAUGGGUGUGCCUCUUUUGGGGUCGGUUCACAGGUGGUGCAUGGCUGUCGUCAGCUCGUGUCGUGAGAUGUUGGGUUAAGUCCCGCAACGAGCGCAACCCUUGUUCACUGUUGCCAGCACGUUAUGGUGGGGACUCAGUGGAGACCGCCGGGGUCAACUCGGAGGAAGGUGGGGAUGACGUCAAGUCAUCACGCCCCUUAUGUCCAGGGCUUCACGCAUGCUACAAUGGCUGGUACAGAGAGUGGCGAGCCUGUGAGGGUGAGCGAAUCUCGGAAAGCCGGUCUCAGUUCGGAUUGGGGUCUGCAACUCGACCUCAUGAAGUCGGAGUCGCUAGUAAUCGCAGAUCAGCAACGCUGCGGUGAAUACGUUCCCGGG
RNAcentral lists this ribosomal RNA (1343 nucleotides) under uncultured bacterium. Its description in RNAcentral is "16S ribosomal RNA". It matches the Rfam family "Bacterial small subunit ribosomal RNA", at positions 28 to 1378 of the family's 1533-position model. The record is from RNAcentral.